Molecule: long non-coding RNA, 129 nt
Organism: Etheostoma spectabile (orangethroat darter)
Lineage: Eukaryota; Metazoa; Chordata; Actinopteri; Perciformes; Percidae
Exons: 3
Source: RefSeq, a predicted model, not a curated record
UUUCAGAUUGUUAAAAUAUCGCCCACCACUAAUGUCUGGUCCACAUGUGAUAUUGAACCCCCCCUUUAUACUUUAACCAUGCCCAUGUACUCAGGCCACGCCCCCUUUAUGGCUUUUGAACCGUUUAAG